RNAcentral lists this ribosomal RNA (489 nucleotides) under uncultured bacterium. Its description in RNAcentral is "partial 16S ribosomal RNA". It matches the Rfam family "Bacterial small subunit ribosomal RNA", at positions 30 to 507 of the family's 1533-position model. The record is from RNAcentral.
UUGAACGCUGGCGGCAGGCCUAACACAUGCAAGUCGAACGGUAACAGGAAGCAGCUUGCUGCUUUGCUGACGAGUGGCGGACGGGUGAGUAAUGUCUGGGAAACUGCCUGAUGGAGGGGGAUAACUACUGGAAACGGUAGCUAAUACCGCAUAACGUCGCAAGACCAAAGAGGGGGACCUUAGGGCCUCUUGCCAUCGGAUGUGCCCAGAUGGGAUUAGCUAGUAGGUGGGGUAACGGCUCACCUAGGCGACGAUCCCUAGCUGGUCUGAGAGGAUGACCAGCCACACUGGAACUGAGACACGGUCCAGACUCCUACGGGAGGCAGCAGUGGGGAAUAUUGCACAAUGGGCGCAAGCCUGAUGCAGCCAUGCCGCGUGUAUGAAGAAGGCCUUCGGGUUGUAAAGUACUUUCAGCGGGGAGGAAGGGAGUAAAGUUAAUACCUUUGCUCAUUGACGUUACCCGCAGAAGAAGCACCGGCUAACUCCGUG